RNAcentral lists this ribosomal RNA (428 nucleotides) under Serratia marcescens. RNAcentral's name for it is "bacterial SSU rRNA". It matches the Rfam family "Bacterial small subunit ribosomal RNA", at positions 967 to 1395 of the family's 1533-position model. Lineage: Bacteria; Pseudomonadati; Pseudomonadota; Gammaproteobacteria; Enterobacterales; Yersiniaceae. The record is from RNAcentral.
AACCUUACCUACUCUUGACAUCCAGAGAACUUUCCAGAGAUGGAUUGGUGCCUUCGGGAACUCUGAGACAGGUGCUGCAUGGCUGUCGUCAGCUCGUGUUGUGAAAUGUUGGGUUAAGUCCCGCAACGAGCGCAACCCUUAUCCUUUGUUGCCAGCGGUUCGGCCGGGAACUCAAAGGAGACUGCCAGUGAUAAACUGGAGGAAGGUGGGGAUGACGUCAAGUCAUCAUGGCCCUUACGAGUAGGGCUACACACGUGCUACAAUGGCGUAUACAAAGAGAAGCGACCUCGCGAGAGCAAGCGGACCUCAUAAAGUACGUCGUAGUCCGGAUUGGAGUCUGCAACUCGACUCCAUGAAGUCGGAAUCGCUAGUAAUCGUAGAUCAGAAUGCUACGGUGAAUACGUUCCCGGGCCUUGUACACACCGCCC